This 343-nucleotide unclassified non-coding RNA is filed under the name soil metagenome. RNAcentral describes it as "partial contains 5.8S ribosomal RNA, internal transcribed spacer 2, and large subunit ribosomal RNA". The stretch from base 1 to 120 matches the Rfam family "5.8S ribosomal RNA", at positions 35 to 154 of the family's 154-position model. The record is from RNAcentral.
GAUGAAGAACGUAGCAAAAUGCGAUAAGUAGUGUGAAUUGCAGAAUUCAGUGAAUCAUCGAAUCUUUGAACGCACAUUGCGCCCGCCAGUAUUCUGGCGGGCAUGCCUGUUCGAGCGUCAUUUCAACCCUCAAGCCCCCGGGCUUGGUGUUGGGGAUCGGCGUGCCCUCGCGGCGCGCCGUCCCCUAAAUCUAGUGGCGGUCUCGCUGUAGCUUCCUCUGCGUAGUAGCAACACUCGCACUGGAUCGCAGCGCGGCCACGCCGUUAAACCCCCCACUUCUGAAAGUUUGACCUCGGAUCAGGUAGGAAUACCCGCUGAACUUAAGCAUAUCAUAAGCGGAGGA